Molecule: long non-coding RNA, 750 nt
Filed under: Canis lupus familiaris (dog)
Lineage: Eukaryota; Metazoa; Chordata; Mammalia; Carnivora; Canidae
Description: lncRNA (ENSCAFG00000039297.3)
Source: RNAcentral
CAGAUUAACAAAUCACUUCUGUUCAUGGGGGAGGGUUUUAAAAACUCCACAGGGUAAAAGAGUUUAACUUGUAAUAAAAGAAAGAAAGUGUGGUGGCUGGGUGGUAGAGAUGGAGGUGUUUGACGGGCAUGAAAAUGCAGUCAUUGAUUUCUGUGGGGGAGCACAAGUCUCAGAGACCCUGGAAAUGUGCACCUAAGAAGAUAGCAUGUGAUGGAAGAAAGAGAAUGCAAUAGAGCAAGUGUGGGGUCAUGGAUAUUGUAUCUUAUCCAACAGUAAAGCUGCAACGAAGACAAGGCACCGAUACUGGCGUUCCUUGCUUGGGGAGCCUGUUCAGACUGUGCUGGCUGACAUUCAUGCCGCGUGACUACAACGUUCCCUACAAUGUAGCAGGCGCAUGUCGAAAAAGUCCCUUUCAGGUGACCUUGGCUCUCGGAGCCUUCCUGUGUUUCCCGCUCUCAGAGACAGUCCGGGAGCGGUCCGGCUCGGGAACCCCUCCAACCCCAACACAGCGGAGACAAAAGCAAGCCCUUCAGCUUCUUGGAGGCUGGCUGGGAAAAUCAAGCGGGAGAAUUAAAAAAAAUACUCAACACAGGGCCCGGUAGCCGAGAGCUCAUGGUGUUUUCAUGGGCGAGGCCCCUUUGCUGGGCGUGCGUGGGAACAAGGACCUCGCGGUGACCUUCAGGGGGCUGCGGCUCCGUGGGUGAGUCGGGUGCCACGGCUUCCGACUGUGGCCGGGGCUCGGGGUCCCCG